CCAACGGCCCUCUUUAGGGCCACAAAUCUAUAUCGAGUAUCUUGA
Molecule: non-coding RNA, 45 nt
Organism: Oesophagostomum dentatum (nodular worm)
Lineage: Eukaryota; Metazoa; Nematoda; Chromadorea; Rhabditida; Strongylidae
Source: Rfam